GUCUGGGGGAUGACCAAACAUGACCUUCACCUGACAAUAUCUGAGCACAAUCUGUGCUGACAACAUUCCAAGGUCCUGACAGAC
RNAcentral lists this small nucleolar RNA (84 nucleotides) under Chlamydomonas reinhardtii. Its description in RNAcentral is "CrCD60a snoRNA". Lineage: Eukaryota; Viridiplantae; Chlorophyta; Chlorophyceae; Chlamydomonadales; Chlamydomonadaceae. The record is from RNAcentral.